This 74-nucleotide ribosomal RNA is filed under the name Myroides indicus. Lineage: Bacteria; Pseudomonadati; Bacteroidota; Flavobacteriia; Flavobacteriales; Flavobacteriaceae. The record is from RNAcentral.
UUUCGAACAGAGCAGUUAAGCCCGCCAGCGCAGAUGGUACUGCCGCAAGGUGGGAGAGUAUGUCGCUGCCCUUC